GAGGACGCACGCGGCCAGCCGGGAGGCGCGCGCUUUCCCCUCCCCCGCGGCCCGGAGCGCGAGCCGCCGUGACGUCAGGGGCCGCCCGCCUGCCCCGCGCUCCAGCGGGCAGAGCGCGUGCGGCCGCCGAGCACAUGGGCCCGCGGCCCGGGCGGACUCGGGGCGGCGGGGCCCGGGGGAACGGCGAGGGGCCGCGAGCGAGGAUGAGUCCCGGCACGCCCCCGCCCCGGACCCCCUCGAGUGGAUUUCCACGCGGAAAGGAUGUUGGCGGUCCCGGUGACCUGCGGAGACACGGUUGGAGCCACCUUUCACGAUACUCAGCCGCCUGCGUGGGGACUGAUGCUGGUGGAAGCAGGCUCUCAGGGACACACACCGGCCACAUUUCUGGAUGCUCAUGGUGGUUUUAG
This 407-nucleotide long non-coding RNA is filed under the name Bos indicus x Bos taurus (hybrid cattle). RNAcentral describes it as "lncRNA (ENSBIXG00000016748.1)". The stretch from base 127 to 311 matches the Rfam family "Pvt1 oncogene conserved region 1". Lineage: Eukaryota; Metazoa; Chordata; Mammalia; Artiodactyla; Bovidae. The record is from RNAcentral.